UACGUAGGCAGCAAGCGUUGUUCGGAAUUACUGGGCGUAAAGAGUGUGUAGGCGGUGUCUUAAGUUUGUUGUGAAAUCUCCCGGCUUAACCGGGAGGGUGCGGCGAAUACUGAGAUGCUGGAGUGCCGGAGAGGUAAGCGGAAUUCCUGGUGUAGCGGUGAAAUGCGUAGAUAUCAGGAGGAACACCUGCGGUGUAGACGGCUUACUGGACGGUAACUGACGCUGAGGCACGAAAGCGUGGGUAGCAAACAGG
Molecule: ribosomal RNA, 253 nt
Filed under: uncultured bacterium
Lineage: Bacteria
Description: partial 16S ribosomal RNA
Rfam family: Bacterial small subunit ribosomal RNA
Source: RNAcentral